UUAGAGCAAACGGUGAAUGCCUUGGCAUCUGGAGCCGAAGAAGGACGUAGAAAUCUGCGAUAAGCCUCGGGGAGCUGAUAAUCGAGCCCUGAUCCGAGGAUUUCCGAAUGGGGAAACCCCGCCAGGCGUUUUGACCUGGUGACUCCCGCCUGAAUAUAUAGGGCGGGUAGAGGGAACGUGGGGAAGUGAAACAUCUCAGUACCCACAGGAAGAGAAAACAACAGUGAUUCCGUCAGUAGUGGCGAGCGAAAUCGGAAGAGGCUAAACCGGUCAUGUGUGAUAGACGGCGGUCGUUGCAUGGUCGGGGUUGUGGGACCCGUUGUCCUGUUCUGCCGGACAGGAACAGUUACAGCGCAGUAUAGGCGAACAGCUUUGAAUGGCUGGUCAUAGAGGGUGCGAACCCCGUAGCCGAAAUGCUGGCGCUGGCUGAAUGGGGAUCCCAAGUAGCUCGGGGCCCGAGAAAUCCCGUGUGAAUCUGUCAGGACCACCUGAUAAGCCUAAAUACUCCCAGAUGACCGAUAGCGGACAAGUACCGUGAGGGAAAGGUGAAAAGUACCCCGGGAGGGGAGUGAAAUAGUACCUGAAACCGUGUGCUUACAAUCCGUU
Molecule: ribosomal RNA, 606 nt
Filed under: Schizochytrium aggregatum
Lineage: Eukaryota; Bigyra; Thraustochytrida; Thraustochytriidae
Description: partial Bacterial large subunit ribosomal RNA
Rfam family: Bacterial large subunit ribosomal RNA
Source: RNAcentral